UACGUAGGGGGCGAGCGUUGUCCGGAUUUAUUGGGCGUAAAGCGCACGUAGGCUGCUUCAAAAGUCGGAUGUGAAAUCCCGUGGCUCAACCAUGGACGUGCAUUCGAAACUGCGAAGCUUGAGUAUGGAAGAGGGUCGCGGAAUUCCCGGUGUAGAGGUGAAAUUCGUAGAUAUCGGGAGGAACACCAGUGGCGAAGGCGGCGACCUGGGCCAAUACUGACGCUGAGGUGCGAAAGCGUGGGGAGCAAACAGG
Molecule: ribosomal RNA, 253 nt
Filed under: uncultured bacterium
Lineage: Bacteria
Description: partial 16S ribosomal RNA
Rfam family: Bacterial small subunit ribosomal RNA
Source: RNAcentral